GCAUGGACGAAUUCUGUGUUACUCUGACCAGUAGUAACUGCAGUCAGACACCAUGCAAGAGCAAACCUCAACCUCCAAUCUCUGUCGGUGACUAGUUUGUCUGCUCACUGAAGGGAGUUUGAGUACAUUA
This is a small nucleolar RNA of Engraulis encrasicolus (European anchovy), 130 nucleotides long. RefSeq annotates it as small nucleolar RNA SNORA15. The record is from RefSeq and is a predicted model, not a curated record. The transcript has a single exon. NCBI's taxonomy places the organism in Eukaryota, Metazoa, Chordata, Actinopteri, Clupeiformes, Engraulidae.